Molecule: ribosomal RNA, 305 nt
Filed under: uncultured bacterium
Lineage: Bacteria
Description: bacterial SSU rRNA
Rfam family: Bacterial small subunit ribosomal RNA
Source: RNAcentral
CUCUCCUCCGGGGGGCAGCAGUGAGGAAUAUUGGUCAAUGGGCUUACGCCUUAACCAGCCCCGUCGCGUUCGGGAAGACUGCCCUAUGGGUUGUAAACCUCUUUUGUCAGGGAGCAAUUGGCGCUACGUGUAGCGUUAUCGAGAGUACCUGAAGAAAAAGCAUCGGCUAACUCCGUGCCAGCAGCCGCGGUAAUACGGAGGAUGCGAGCGUUAUCCGGAUUUAUUGGGCUUAAAGGGUGCGUAGGCGGAAUGCCAAGUCAGCGGUAAAAUCGCGGGGCUCAACCUCGCUCCGCCGUUGAAACUGG